GGAGGCAUCUCCUGGCUGGUAAACGGUGGCGAAAGCUGCUGCUCGGGGAGGAGGUUGCGGGCUAUCAGCUAGUUGGUGAGGUAACGGCCCACCAAGGCGAUGACGGCUACCGGGUCUGAGAGGACGGUCCGGCACACUGGGACUGAGAACUGCCCAGACUCCUACGGGAGGCUGCAGUCGUGAAUCUUCCGCAAUGGGCGAAAGCCUGACGGAGCGACACCGCGUGUAGGAUGAAGGCCUUCGGGUUGUAAACUACUGUCACGUUCUAGGAACUGCUCAGUGUGAAUAGCACUGAGCUCGACCAAGACGGGAGGAAGCACCGGCUAACUCUGUGCCAGCAGCCCGCGGUAAGACAGAGGGUGCAAACGUUGUUCGGAAUUACUGGGCAUAAAGCGCACGU
RNAcentral lists this ribosomal RNA (400 nucleotides) under uncultured bacterium. RNAcentral describes it as "bacterial SSU rRNA". It matches the Rfam family "Bacterial small subunit ribosomal RNA", at positions 184 to 572 of the family's 1533-position model. The record is from RNAcentral.